This 223-nucleotide unclassified non-coding RNA is filed under the name Glomeraceae sp. RNAcentral's name for it is "partial contains 5.8S ribosomal RNA and internal transcribed spacer 2". The stretch from base 1 to 65 matches the Rfam family "5.8S ribosomal RNA", at positions 84 to 154 of the family's 154-position model. The record is from RNAcentral. Lineage: Eukaryota; Fungi; Glomeromycota; Glomeromycetes; Glomerales; Glomeraceae.
GUGAAUCAUCGAAUUUUUGAACGCAAAUUGCACUCUCCUCGGAGAGUAUGCCUGUUCGAGGGUCAGCCUAAAAAAAAAAUCGACAUCGUUGCUGUUCCGCGGUGACGUUCGUCGGAAAUUGGUUUAUUUUAAACUUUUUGGUUUAAGGGAUUUAAAUUUUUCUUUUGGUUCCAUGAACGUUUCUAAGAUUUAUUCUUUUACCCGUUUAAGGUAUCGAUUUUUA